Molecule: ribosomal RNA, 60 nt
Filed under: Liposcelis bostrychophila
Lineage: Eukaryota; Metazoa; Arthropoda; Insecta; Psocodea; Liposcelididae
Description: partial 5.8S ribosomal RNA
Source: RNAcentral
AACAUCGAUAUUUCGAACGCACAUUGCCGAGCUAGGAUUUUUUCCGGCUCGACGUCUGCC